RNAcentral lists this unclassified non-coding RNA (423 nucleotides) under Hevea brasiliensis (rubber tree). Lineage: Eukaryota; Viridiplantae; Streptophyta; Magnoliopsida; Malpighiales; Euphorbiaceae. The record is from RNAcentral.
CGACUUUCUUGUUGUGUCACAUCACAAUUAAUAAUAAGAUCAUUCCUAGUAUAUAGCUAAUGUGAUAAUAUUUCUAGACUAAUCUCAACUAUUAAGUAACAAGUAUUCACUUGCUUUUGUUUUGUCCAUUGGCACAUUUACCCUAUGCUAAAGGGUCUAAAUCCUAGGUUGACUCUUGACACUUGUAACAAGAUGACCUAAAGUUAACGCAAUCUAUAAUAGCUAAAUCCAUUCAUUGUUCCAUUCAUUGUUAAUUUUCCAACCAAGUUCCUAUUUUUAAAAGAAUAGCCAAAGUCCUAAAGAACCACAAAAGCACGUGUCGGAAGAUAUGUACAUUAAAUCUGUGUACUUAGUCAUACAUUUCAUUUAUUCCUGCAUGAUGGCUGAAUGACAAAUGUCAAAUCUUGCCAAGAGGAACUCAGG